Camelus ferus (Wild Bactrian camel) is the source of this 72-nucleotide transfer RNA. It matches the Rfam family "tRNA". Rfam says of the family: Transfer RNA (tRNA) molecules are approximately 80 nucleotides in length. Their secondary structure includes four short double-helical elements and three loops (D, anti-codon, and T loops). Further hydrogen bonds mediate the characteristic L-shaped molecular structure. tRNAs have two regions of fundamental functional importance: the anti-codon, which is responsible for specific mRNA codon recognition, and the 3' end, to which the tRNAs corresponding amino acid is attached (by aminoacyl-tRNA synthetases). tRNAs cope with the degeneracy of the genetic code in two manners: having more than one tRNA (with a specific anti-codon) for a particular amino acid; and 'wobble' base-pairing, i.e. permitting non-standard base-pairing at the 3rd anti-codon position. Lineage: Eukaryota; Metazoa; Chordata; Mammalia; Artiodactyla; Camelidae. The record is from Rfam.
GAGGGUAUAGCUCAGUGGUAGAACACAUUCUUAGCAUGCACGAGGUCCUGGGUUCAAUCCCCAGUACUUCCA